AUGGCCAACGGUGCCGGCUGGGGAGAGCACCACGUCCGGAUACGGCCAGCUCAUGACGGCGCCGGACGAGCAGGGAAGUCUGCUGCCCCGCCGCCGCCGCCGGAGAUGGUGCUGAAUCGCUUCGUUCGCUUGGUCGCGCUGAUCGAGAGGCUUGGCAACGCCUUGGGCACGCUGGCCUUUACCUGGGCAACUGUCGUGCUGCUCGGCGGCUACUCCAAAGACCUCAGCUUGCAGGACGAUUUUUGGUAUGCGACAGCGAUUGUAUUCCUCGAAGCUGCAAGGAUGUUCACCCGCAACAACAGAAUGGAUUACCAACUGUUCUUUAACACAAGGGGAGCUUUUAGACCUGUGGGCUGGAAUGGACUGGUUGCAGUACUAUGCUUUUUUGAUGUUUUCGUGAUCCUCUGGGAGAAAGAUUAUCUGUCUGAUAUGAUGCUUCUAUCGAUAGUAAUAAUAUUUGCAACUGGCCGAUUCCUGUCUGGGCUGAAACUGAACAUAUGCAAUCCGCUACGCCGUGCCACGUCACUGUGGAGCCCCUUGGUUGCAAUCCUACUGACGGCUCCACCUCUGUACAACGGAGGGAUAGGCCCAUUGACCAGUUGGAUUGUAUUCACAGCACUACUUGUGCCAGUGCUAUUGGUGACAAUAAGCAGGCUACGGUUCACCAGAAUCGUCAAACUAGCGGAUAGUAUUCUUGGCAGAAAACAAAAACUUUGGCGCCGAGUUUUUAUAAACUUGUGCAUGAUUGCUGCGCUAGGGAUGCAGGUGUACAUGCUACACUUAGAUCCAUUCAUGAACAUGUCCCUUAUCAUGAUAGUCCAAGUGUGUGCCUUGGUGGUGGUGUCAUUUGGCAACUUCCAGGUUCCAGCAGCAGUGUUAAGAAUCUGCCUAGCAAGCUUGAGCUUACAGCAUAGCUACAAGGAUGACCAAGAGAACCUGGCAGCAUCUCUUGAAAUCUUCUAUUGGAUGGUGCUUGGACAAGGAAUCCUUUAUGCUGUGGCUUGCAUGCUCGAGUUCUUUUCGUUCAUCCCGCGGAGGUCCCUUGUCCACUGUGGUGGAUUUAGAGGUCAGUGGGGAGUGGACUCCGUAAAUCUGUACUAUGCAUAUGCCCUAGAGAAACGCAUGCAAGAAGGUGUGCUUGCUCCAAAGAAGAUCAGCCUGAGUAACUUUGCCAUGGAUUCUCUAAACUCCAAUUCAUCCAAGAAUCAGCUCUAUGGUAUUCGGAUGAUGCACAGCUUUCUGCAAAGGGAGCCAACCAAGGCACAGCUACUUUCAAAACUCACCACUUCUACCAAGACGGUGGCCAGAAUAAUCAGGAUGUUGAAUUGGACAAGUCCAAAGGAUACAACUAUCAGACUGUAUGCCGCGAAGGUCACCGCUGAACUUGCAAAAGACCUCCAUGUUGUUACCUUCCCCGGUACAAUGCAGCUUGUAUCAGCACUUCUUGAUGCUGAUAGCAGACCGAGAAGAAGAAAUCCACUUCUGGACACAGAUGAUGAGCAAGAAGAAAGACAAGAUCAAUUUCUGAAUAGAGAAGAUAACCGGGAGGAUGCAGCUGUUAACCAAUCGCAAAGACAAGACCCACUUCAAGACACCAAUAACCUACUUGAAGAAACACAAACAUGCUCGACCCAACAACCUUUCGUCGACAAACAGAACUCUUACAUAAUCAGAUGCUGGCAGUGGAUGAAAAAAUUAUGUUCAAUUCCCAAGGAGCAGCUGUCGGCAGACCAUGAUCUUCUCCCUGCACUGGCCAUGUCGAUAAUUGAAAGUCUUGCUUGGUGUGAUCAGGAAAACUGUGUGGAAAUUAACAAUGCGGCUAACCUCAUCCCGAAAAUCAUAGGAUUCACGAGAUUCAAACAUGCCAUGAACACUGUGGAUACCGAGGCAGAACAAAAGGUCAUGUUGAAGUCAUCACUGAAGGUGCUGCAAAGACUCACAGGUAUUGGUGGGGAAAUUGGCAUAACACUUCGGUACAAGAUAUCAAAACAUCCCUUCCUAUUGAGAAACCUUUCAGAAAUCUUGAAAGACAACAGAAGCAGCCAGGAAUCGAGAAAGUUGGUGACCGGAAUCCUCAGGAACAUUGCCAUUGAUGGGAACAUAAGGCAGGACAUUGGUCGCAUUCAACUGAUCAUCACCAGGCUGAAGCAGACAUUUCUCAAUGAAGAAAAUCCCAUGAUCGCCAAUGCUGAUCACUUGUCACGGAAGGUCGCGGGGCAAGCACUGGCAAUGUUGACGACAGAAAGUGCCCAAAAUUGCUUGAUUGUGUUGCAGGAACCAGACUUCAUUAAGAAAUUGAAACAUAUGAUCUUGAUCCAUGAUGGCAAGUACAUAUAUGUGGCAGCAAGUCUGUUACGUAACCUGUGCCUGCACUCUCGACACGAGCUCAGAGAGCCGGACCUGAAGGAGCUAUCUCAUAUCUUGCGAGAGGUGUUGGAGAAAAUAAUUGACGUGGAAGGGGCAGAACUAGAGAUCAUCAUUGGCCUUAGUUCACUAAUUUGUAAAACCAUUCCUGAAGACUUUACCCAAGAACUAGAAGGCGGCCAGAUUAAGCGAAGAUUUGUGAAAAGGCUCGUCGAUGUGUUGAAUGCAAAUACGGAACCUGGCGCUAAUUGUCCUGGGAUCAGAAGGGUUAUACUUGAGCAGGUCAUUUACAUGAUGGAGUCCAAUUAUCGCUAUGCGGACUGUUUCAACGAAUUCAGGAUGACAGAAGCCCUCUCAGUCGUCGAACAAACACUGUCACACGCUGAGAACUACAAGUUCUUCUUGGGUGAUGCAGGUUUCAUGGAGUACAACACACCUAUCUCCGCUCUUGUGGUAAGAGCAAAAGAGCUUAUGUGUCGUAACUGA
RNAcentral lists this ribosomal RNA (2850 nucleotides) under Triticum aestivum (bread wheat). Its description in RNAcentral is "partial small subunit ribosomal RNA". The record is from RNAcentral. Lineage: Eukaryota; Viridiplantae; Streptophyta; Magnoliopsida; Poales; Poaceae.